RNAcentral lists this ribosomal RNA (712 nucleotides) under Vararia dussii. Its description in RNAcentral is "LSU rRNA". It matches the Rfam family "Eukaryotic large subunit ribosomal RNA", at positions 1 to 744 of the family's 3401-position model. Lineage: Eukaryota; Fungi; Basidiomycota; Agaricomycetes; Russulales; Lachnocladiaceae. The record is from RNAcentral.
UUGACCUCAAAUCAGGUGGGACUACCCGCUGAACUUAAGCAUAUCAAUAAGCGGAGGAAAAGAAACUAACAAGGAUUCCCCUAGUAACUGCGAGUGAAGCGGGAAAAGCUCAAAUUUAAAAUCUGGCGACUUUGUCGUCCGAGUUGUAAUUUAGAGAAGCGUUUUCCGCGUCGGACCGUGUACAAGUCUCCUGGAACGGAGCGUCAUAGAGGGUGAGAAUCCCGUCUUUGACACGGACCCCGGUGCUCUGUGAUACGCUCUCGAAGAGUCGAGUUGUUUGGGAAUGCAGCUCAAAAUGGGUGGUGAACUCCAUCUAAAGCUAAAUAUUGGCGAGAGACCGAUAGCGAACAAGUACCGUGAGGGAAAGAUGAAAAGCACUUUGGAAAGAGAGUGAAACAGUACGUGAAAUUGCUGAAAGGGAAACGCUUGAAGUCAGUCGCGUCUGCCGGGAUUCAGCCUUAUGGUGUACUUUCCGGUGGACGGGCCAGCAUCACUUUUGAUCGCCGGAAAAGGGCAGGGGGAAUGUGGCACCUCCGGGUGUGUUAUAGCCCUCUGUCGUAUACGGUGGUCGGGAGUGAGGACCGCCUUUGUAGGAUGCUGGCGUAAUGGCUUUAAACGACCCGUCUUGAAACACGGACCAAGGAGUCUAACAUGCCCGCGAGUGUUCGGGCGGAAAACCCGUGCGCGUAAUGAAAGUGAAAGUUGGGAAGGC